GUGCUCACUUUGGCAGCACAUAUACUAAAAUUGGAAUGAUACAGAGAAGAUUAGCAUGGCCACUGUGCAAGGAUGACAUGCAAAUUCAUGAAGCGUUCCAUAUUUUU
RNAcentral lists this small nuclear RNA (107 nucleotides) under Aotus nancymaae (Ma's night monkey). The record is from RNAcentral. Lineage: Eukaryota; Metazoa; Chordata; Mammalia; Primates; Aotidae.